GUGCCAGCAGCCGCGGUAAUACAGAGGGUGCGAGCGUUAAUCGGAGUUACUGGGCGUAAAGGGCGCGUAGGCGGUGAUGCAAGUAAGAUGUGAAAUCCCUGGGCUUAACCUAGGAAUUGCAUUUUAGACUGUGUUGCUAGAGUGCAGUAGAGGGUAGUGGAAUUUCCGGUGUAGCGGUGAAAUGCGUAGAGAUCGGAAGGAACACCAGUGGCGAAGGCGACUACCUGGACUGACACUGACGCUGAGGCGCGAAAGCGUGGGGAGCAAACAGGAUUAGAAACCCUGGUAGUCC
RNAcentral lists this ribosomal RNA (292 nucleotides) under uncultured bacterium. Its description in RNAcentral is "partial 16S ribosomal RNA". It matches the Rfam family "Bacterial small subunit ribosomal RNA", at positions 505 to 796 of the family's 1533-position model. The record is from RNAcentral.